Molecule: long non-coding RNA, 431 nt
Organism: Oreochromis aureus
Lineage: Eukaryota; Metazoa; Chordata; Actinopteri; Cichliformes; Cichlidae
Exons: 4
Source: RefSeq, a predicted model, not a curated record
UAAAGCUGCUGUCACUUGGACUAUUCCGUAGCACCCACCCGAGUAGUCGUCCUCGUCCCUGCACUGCACGUCGAUCCCAGUUACCGGUGAUGACAUGAAACACGAUUGUGUGUUGUCGCUCCCGUCACACCUACAUCAAUCCGUUCGUCACCUUUGUGGACCAGCGCAGGUGGAAGUGCAACCUGUGUUACCAGGUCAAUGAUGUACCAGGUGAGUUCAAGUGGAACCCAGUCACAAGGUCAUACGGUGAACCACACAAGAGGCCAGAGGUCCAGAAUUCCACCGUGGAGUUCAUCGCCUCCUCAGACUACAUGUGUCCAGAGAUCCAGGACAUCUACACCACACUGACCAGCAGCUUCGACACACGCCUGGGCAUACUGCCCCGCUACUGAGUUGUGGCGAUUGAGAGGACAUCCUGCAGGAGACGCAAA